Cyprinus carpio (common carp) is the source of this 1122-nucleotide long non-coding RNA. Lineage: Eukaryota; Metazoa; Chordata; Actinopteri; Cypriniformes; Cyprinidae. The record is from Ensembl.
AUGCAAGUAAAUGGGUAUAGUGUGAUCCCAGUGGUAACAUUAGGAGUGAGUCCGAUCUGGAUAUUACCACAACCAGAGAUAGAUCUGUUCUUGCUGGAACAAAGAAAAGAGAAAGGUCAGGAAAUAUCAGAAGCAGAAUUCACAAAAGAUUAUAUAAGGAGUAAAUAUGAUCAGUAUGUACAGGUGUAUACAGAUGCGUCUAAAGACCUGCAAAGUGGCCAAGUGGGGGUUGCAUAUGUCAUCCAAGAAAUGGAAGCGGAAAGGUGUGAAAGAAUAACUAAUCAUGUGUCAGUGUUUACAGGAGAAUUAACAGCAAUCAUGAUAGCAAUAAAUAAAGUAAGUGAACUGGGAAUAAAUAAAUCCCUAAUAUGUUCUGAUUCAAGUUCUGAGCUGAUAUGUCUGGAGGCACAAAAGUCAGAAACGAGACAAGAUCUGGUAUUAGAAAUCCUACAGAUUUUAUUAAUGAUGCAAGAGACAAAUAAGAGGGUUCAGUUUUUGUGUGUUCCAGCACACACUGGAGUGUUAGGGAAUGAAAAAGCUGACAAAUUAGCAAAGAAAGCCAUGGCAAAAGAAAAUAUAGAUAUGGACAGUAAGCAUAGUAAAGAAGAAAUCAAAUCAAUUAUUAAAAGGGAGAUAAAUAAAAAAUGGCAAAAUUAUUGCGACAAUGAAAGUAAAGGGAGACUCCUUCAUUCAAUUCAACCACUGGUAGGAAGGGGAAGGAGUUCAAGUGUGAAAAGGAAAGAGGAUUGUAUUACAUCAAGAUUGAGAUUAGAGCAUACAGGUCUCAACUCAACAAUGCAUUUAAUAGGAAAACAUCCUAAUGGUAUGCAUCACAAAAAUGGCUGUCCAAAGGGUCUGAAUACUUUUUCACAUGUGUCUAUAUACUCUUUGCUCACAAUAUAUAUAUAUAUAUAUAUAUAUAUAUAUAUAUAUAUAUAUAUAUAUAUAUAUAUAUAUAUAUAUAUAUAUACACAAUUUUUUAUGUCUUUUAAAAGAGUUUCUUAUGCUCAUCAAGACUGCAUUUAUUUGAUCAAAAAUACAGGAAAAAAAAUUUUAUAUUGUGAAAUAUUAUUACGAUGUAAAAUAAUGUUUUUUUCUAUUUUAAUAUACAUUGAAAUCUAA